UAGAGGUAUUAGGGCGGUUAUCUCUUCCCAGUUUCCCACACUGUGGAAGGGUCCUUCUUGAUAUAGCUGU
Molecule: non-coding RNA, 70 nt
Filed under: Schistosoma japonicum
Lineage: Eukaryota; Metazoa; Platyhelminthes; Trematoda; Strigeidida; Schistosomatidae
Source: RNAcentral